UCUGGAGCCACUGGUUCACCUGGUCAACUCACCCUCAGCAACUCCCAGCUCCAAGCAGAGCAGAAGAGCAGGCAGUGGGGUAAAAGGGAGUUAUGCAUGCACUUGUCCUAAGCUCCCUCUCUGUUCCCAGCCCCCACACUCAGCUGCCCACUGGUUCCUGGUGUGGCCUUUGGGCAUUAGAGGAACAGACGGCAUACUGUACUCAGGCAUGAAUGAGCCUUUGCUGCUCCUCUAUCGCCGCAGCCCGUUUCAAAGGGCAGUCAGUACUCAACCUGAGCACUGCCUCUCUGAAUCCUCACCUCCCUGGACCAAAAGAUAAGGAAAGGGCCAAGGAGUCAAGGUGUGGGCGGGCAGCAAAGAGGCUCACGGAGCCCGAAGAAAAGUAUCACUUCGAUCGACAGGGCGGAGAGAUCGAUUUCAUCCAGGCUGCGAGCUGGGGAGUCGCUAGCCAUGUCGACUCUUCGCGGGAGAAAUGGACCAAACCAGCCCGAAGAGUCUGCCUUGGCAAGUCCACCCUGGUCUAUUUCGCUCGCGUCCUCAUGCGGCUGCCCGCCAGAGAGGCCCGGGGCCCAGCCUCCCCCGCCCACCCGGGCCCCCAACCAGAGUCGGAUUCCGAUCUUCCGUGAGCGUCGAUCCGCGGGUUCCCGGAGCCCGACCUGCGCGGACCUCCAAGCCGGGAGCCGCGCAUGAACUCAUCAGUGAUGGUAUGAAGAUGCAGUGCCCCUGGAAAGUGCUGAGAACAUGAAGGCCGAGCCCUUGGUGUAGCGCGAUUAGUAAAAACUCAGAAACAGGAACUGAGUUCAACCUAAA
Microtus ochrogaster (prairie vole) is the source of this 810-nucleotide long non-coding RNA. RefSeq lists it as uncharacterized. The transcript is spliced from 3 exons. The record is from RefSeq and is a predicted model, not a curated record. Lineage: Eukaryota; Metazoa; Chordata; Mammalia; Rodentia; Cricetidae.